RNAcentral lists this ribosomal RNA (482 nucleotides) under uncultured bacterium. Its description in RNAcentral is "partial 16S ribosomal RNA". It matches the Rfam family "Bacterial small subunit ribosomal RNA", at positions 30 to 507 of the family's 1533-position model. The record is from RNAcentral.
AUUGAACGCUGGCGGCAGGCCUAACACAUGCAAGUCGAGCGGAUGAAGGUAGCUUGCUCCUGGAUUCAGCGGCGGACGGGUGAGUAAUGCCUAGGAAUCUGCCUGGUAGUGGGGGAUAACGUCCGGAAACGGGCGCUAAUACCGCAUACGUCCUGAGGGAGCACGUGGGGGGUCUUCGGACCCCACGCUAUCAGAUGAGCCUAGGUCGGAUUAGCUAGUCGGUGGGGUAAAGGCCUACCAAGGCGACGAUCCGUAACUGGACUGAGAGGAUGAUCAGUCACACUGGAACUAAGACACGGUCCAGACUGCUACGGGAAGCAGCAGUGGGGAAUAUUGGACAAUGGGCAGAAGACUGAUCGAGACAUGCCGCGUGUGUAAAGAAGGUCUUCGGAUUGUAGCACUUUAAGUUGGGAGGAAGGGCAGUAAGUUAAUACCUUGCUGUUUUGACGUUACCAACAGAAUAAGCACCGGCUAACUUCGUG